GAUGAACGCUGGCGGCGUGCCUAAUACAUGCAAGUCGAGCGAACAGAUGAGGAGCUUGCUCCUCUGACGUUAGCGGCGGACGGGUGAGUAACACGUGGAUAACCUACCUAUAAGACUGGGAUAACUUCGGGGAACCGGAGCUAAUACCGGAUAAUAUAUUGAACCGCAUGGUUCAAUAUUGAAAGACGGUUUUGCUGUCACUUAUAGAUGGAUCCGCGCCGCAUUAGCUAGUUGGUAAGGUAACGGCUUACCAAGGCAACGAUGCGUAGCCGACCUGAGAGGGUGAUCGGCCACACUGGAACUGAGACACGGUCCAGACUCCUACGGGAGGCAGCAGUAGGGAAUCUUCCGCAAUGGGCGAAAGCCUGACGGAGCAACGCCGCGUGAGCGAUGAAGGUCUUCGGAUCGUAAAACUCUGUUAUUAGGGAAGAACAAAUGUGUAAGUAACUAUGCACGUCUUGACGGUACCUAAUCAGAAAGCCACGGCUAACUACGUG
Molecule: ribosomal RNA, 497 nt
Filed under: uncultured bacterium
Lineage: Bacteria
Description: partial 16S ribosomal RNA
Rfam family: Bacterial small subunit ribosomal RNA
Source: RNAcentral